RNAcentral lists this transfer RNA (71 nucleotides) under Camelus ferus (Wild Bactrian camel). It matches the Rfam family "tRNA". From Rfam's summary of the family: Transfer RNA (tRNA) molecules are approximately 80 nucleotides in length. Their secondary structure includes four short double-helical elements and three loops (D, anti-codon, and T loops). Lineage: Eukaryota; Metazoa; Chordata; Mammalia; Artiodactyla; Camelidae. The record is from Rfam by way of RNAcentral.
GAGGGCAGAGCUCAGUGGUAGAGUGCCUGCUUAGCAGGCACGAGGGCCCGGGUUCAAUCCCCAGUCCCUCU